CCUACGGGGGGCUGCAGUGGGGAAUAUUGGACAAUGGGCGAAAGCCUGAUCCAGCCAUGCCGCGUGAGUGAUGAAGGCCUUAGGGUUGUAAAGCUCUUUUGUCCGGGAAGAUAAUGACUGUACCGGAAGAAUAAGCCCCGGCUAACUUCGUGCCAGCAGCCGCGGUAAUACGAAGGGGGCUAGCGUUGCUCGGAAUCACUGGGCGUAAAGCGCACGUAGGCGGAUUUCUAAGUCGGAGGUGAAAGCCCAGGGCUCAACCCUGGAAUUGCCUUCGA
RNAcentral lists this ribosomal RNA (275 nucleotides) under uncultured Allobosea sp. RNAcentral's name for it is "uncultured Bosea sp. partial 16S ribosomal RNA". It matches the Rfam family "Bacterial small subunit ribosomal RNA", at positions 338 to 630 of the family's 1533-position model. The record is from RNAcentral. Lineage: Bacteria; Pseudomonadati; Pseudomonadota; Alphaproteobacteria; Hyphomicrobiales; Alloboseaceae.